This 66-nucleotide transfer RNA is filed under the name Barbatia decussata. Its description in RNAcentral is "tRNA-Glu". Lineage: Eukaryota; Metazoa; Mollusca; Bivalvia; Arcoida; Arcidae. The record is from RNAcentral.
GCUGAUUUAGUAUAAACAAGUACAUUGAUUUUUCGUGUCAAAGGGUCAUUAAAUUUGAGGUCAGAA